Nomia melanderi (Alkali bee) is the source of this 2291-nucleotide non-coding RNA. Lineage: Eukaryota; Metazoa; Arthropoda; Insecta; Hymenoptera; Halictidae. The record is from RefSeq and is a predicted model, not a curated record.
UCUUAUUGUUAGUCGCGUCGCCGAUAGAAAUAAAGUUUCUCGCUGCGACUUCCCUUGCUAUUCGAGUAACCAGCAUCGAGCCUUGGGGACGAACGGAUCAAUCGGUUCGGUCUUGGCCGAAUGUUCGUACGCGGCUGCGCGUGACAGUUCGAUCGCGCCGAAACCGAUUCCGAGGAUUGAAAAACGACGAGGCGACUGUGAGAAACUUGUUGAUCCGCGCCGCGACGGGUACAGCGCGCGGGCUCGUUAUCCCGUGAGCAACGACCACGGAGUACAUUUCAUAAUUCUACAAAUAGUUUCACUGGCGCAGUUAAAUCUGUCUGCGGCGACCCCGAUUUCGCGCAGCCACGAGCCGAGUGCUGAAACCUUGACUCGCUCCGUUCGCGGUUAGCGGGACGAAAACACCGAAACCUCGGGGAAAAAUCGGCUGAGCCGGUAGCUCGCUGCGCCUUCGAGUUAUCCGAGAUAAUUAGCUGCCACAAUCGGCUUCGAAUUUGGCGCUCGGACUAUCGGCCGCGUGCGUAACGCCGCGCGUUCGCCGCAACGAUUUCUAAGAAUUAAUAGUCAGGAAUGACGAUAUUACAUUCUUGCCCCAGUUUAACAUUUUAUCGCGCCGGUAUAUGGUAUUGCUAUGUGAUAUUCGCGGGGCCGGAGUGACACGGGACAUUCGAAUUAGAGGGAACUUCAGGGAAUCGUUGGUUUGAACGUUAAUCGUGGUACAGUGAACGAUGAGUAGGAAUAUUGGUGUUUUCACAAAGAUAAUAGUGUAGAAGAUAAUAUAUGAUAUCAAGAGAAAAAUAUAAUAUGUAAUAAUAAUGUCCUCUACGUCGUUUGAAGUAUUCGAAAUUCACUAGAAUCUAUUUCGUCAAACAAUCUCAAACUUUUAUGUCAUACUUGUAACAUGAUAACAGAACUCAUAAGUAACCUACUAUUUCCAAACUUUGCCAAACAGCUUCAUUCCAAUAGAUUCUAUUCUACAACGGAAUGAAACAACCAACAGUCCAUUCCCAGGAUUGUCUUAACAACGGACGCUAUUAACACGAAAGUAUCUACUAUUAAACCACGUUCCGCAACGAAUUACUUUGCAUACAUGGAAUGCUCAUGCACAGGCGCGUGCACCGAUUAAACUUGUUCAAUACCGAUUUCCUCGGAACUUGCACGAUCGAACGUGCUUGCGUUUCCGAUCAACGCAAUCAAGAGAGCUUGACGUUACGCCAUCUAAACGAGCAACGAAAACGAUUCGCAGCGAACGCCGAAAAUCGAAAGCGACUAAUCGGCAUGGCAAAGCCUGGCGAAUCGAACGUUCCAUCCCCCUGCACGCUCUCCUGGGUUCCAGCAAUUUGAAGUUUUCCGCGGUGAAUCAUCCUUCCCGGCGCAAAUAAAAUCGCUGUACUACUUUCCACGCCCACUCACGCGUGCACGCGCAUUCAUCGGCAUUCAUCGGUCAUAGAGAAGCCCCUCUCCGAUUCUUCUGGCGUCCGUGCGCGCCGAUGCCGGCCGUGUGCACGGACACCGGCGCGGAACGACCAAGCUGAUCACGCGAAGAACGUUGAAAUGUCCAAUCACUGGAUACAGCUGACUAAAAAGCGAAUUAUUGGCUCGAUGACUUCUUGCAAGACGUUGCUUGAAGAUUUCUUGUUCAAGAAUACUAACCCAUAAAUUAACGUUGCACUUCUACUGCAUAUGGACCUACGAUGCAUCAAUGGCAACCGAAAAGAAUUGCGCAAAAACAGACGAAGAGAAUUCCAGGAAAGAGUCCAGCUAAAAAAGGCGAUGAAAAAUGUCCUUAAGCCAAACUGAGCUUCCGAUGGACCAUUUAGUAGUAGCUGGCCGAGUGGAAACACUGUGUAGGCUUCAAUCUUGUGUCUUGACGGACGGUAACAAAAGAAAGACCGGAUCAUCCAUUUUUCUUUCGUUUUCCUCGUUCUGUCUCAUACAUAUUCAUUGGCUGAAUUAAUUUCAUUUCUUUCGUUUGUGUAGAACUUCGUCGAUGUAAAAGUAUUUAGCACGAUACAAGCGUAACAUUUUAAAUGUACUAAUGGUAAUGUUAAUAGUAUCGAUUAAUAGUACUAUCGACAGUAUUAAUCGAUCAUCGUUUUCCUAAUUACAUUAAUACUAACACAUAACAAUGACAGCAGAAACUACGUACUCUAAUAAUCUAAUCCCACAAAGUUUACUAAAAUUUAAAUAAAAACGCCUCGUUUGCGACUCAUUAAGAAAACACAGGAUUAAAAAACAAAUAUUCCGUAGCUAUCACGGUCCACCUCUCGGAGGAAUUUUUCAUAUUUGUU